RNAcentral lists this unclassified non-coding RNA (238 nucleotides) under Chalara pseudoaffinis. RNAcentral describes it as "partial contains 5.8S ribosomal RNA, internal transcribed spacer 2, and large subunit ribosomal RNA". Lineage: Eukaryota; Fungi; Ascomycota; Leotiomycetes; Helotiales. The record is from RNAcentral.
CGCACAUUGCGCCCCUUGGUAUUCCGGGGGGCAUGCCUGUUCGAGCGUCAUUUCAACCCUCAAGCUCUGCUUGGUCUUGGGCUAUGCCGGCAACGGUAGGCCUCAAACACAGUGGCGACGCCAUCGUGUCCCUCAGCGUAGUAAUUCUUCUCGCUGUUGGGUUCCGGUGGUCGUUGGCCAGCAACCCCAAUUUUCUAUGGUUGACCUCGGAUCAGGUAGGGAUACCCGCUGAACUUAA